CACGAACUUAGCCCGUGCUUCCUCCAGGGAUCAGUCAAGGUUUUAAGGCCCUUCUUCCCCCUCGACAGGAGUUUACAACCCGAAGGCCUUCGUCCUCCACGCGGCGUCGCUCGGUCAGGCUUGCGCCCAUUGCCGAAGAUUCUCGACUGCAGCCUCCCGUAGGAGUCUGGGCAGUGUCUCAGUCCCAGUGUGCCGGGCCACGCUCGCACGCCCGGUAGGCGUCAUAGCCUUGGUGGCCAUUACCCCGCCAACAAGCUGAUACCACGACGGCCCGUCCCACGACGCCGGAGCUUUGGUCACAAGAGGAUGUCCUCUCGUGACGUCGCCGGGAAUUACCCGCAGUUUCCCGCGGCUAUGCCCGAUCAUGGGGUUGUUGCCGUCGCCUUACUCACCCUUGCGCCACGCCCUUGCGGAGCGUACGCUUGCAUGCCUAAUCCACGCCGCCAACGUUCAUUCUGAGCCAGGAUCAAACUCU
RNAcentral lists this ribosomal RNA (475 nucleotides) under uncultured Singulisphaera sp. RNAcentral's name for it is "partial 16S ribosomal RNA". Lineage: Bacteria; Pseudomonadati; Planctomycetota; Planctomycetia; Isosphaerales; Isosphaeraceae. The record is from RNAcentral.